AGGAUGAACGCUGGCGGCGUGCCUUAGGCAUGCAAGUCAAGGGGGUCUCGCAAGAGACAACCGGCAGACGGGUGAGUAACGCGUAGGAAUCUACCCCUAGGCGGAGAAUAGCCCACCGAAAGGUGGGGUAAUUCUCCAUAUUCUCGCAAGAGGAAAGGUCUUAACUGACCACCAAGGGAGGAGCCUGCGUCCUAUUAGCUAGUUGGUGGGGUAAUAGCCUACCAAGGCGACGAUGGGUAGCUGGACUGAGAGGUCGGUCAGCCACAAUGGCACUGAGAUACGGGCCAUACACCUACGGGUGGCAGCAACCGGGAUAGUUCGCAAUGGACGAAAGUCUGACGACGCGACGCCGCGUGGAGGAAGAAGGUUUUCGGAUCGUAAACUCCUUUUGCCAGUUCACAUGAACUGGAGAAUAAGCACCUACAAACUCCGUGCCAGCAGCCGC
This 445-nucleotide ribosomal RNA is filed under the name uncultured bacterium. RNAcentral describes it as "SSU rRNA". It matches the Rfam family "Bacterial small subunit ribosomal RNA", at positions 26 to 518 of the family's 1533-position model. The record is from RNAcentral.